UGCCUAAUGCAGCCAUAGACGGUCACAAGCCCGUGCAAAUGCAGAGUGAGCA
RNAcentral lists this non-coding RNA (52 nucleotides) under unclassified sequences. The record is from RNAcentral.